This 495-nucleotide ribosomal RNA is filed under the name uncultured bacterium. RNAcentral describes it as "partial 16S ribosomal RNA". It matches the Rfam family "Bacterial small subunit ribosomal RNA", at positions 28 to 507 of the family's 1533-position model. The record is from RNAcentral.
GACGAACGCUGGCGGCGUGCCUAAUACAUGCAAGUAGAACGCUGAAGGAGGAGCUUGCUUCUCUGGAUGAGUUGCGAACGGGUGAGUAACGCGUAGGUAACCUGCCUGGUAGCGGGGGAUAACUAUUGGAAACGAUAGCUAAUACCGCAUAAUAGCAGUUAUUGCAUGAUAACUGUUUGAAAGGUGCAAUUGCACCACUACCAGAUGGACCUGCGUUGUAUUAGCUAGUUGGUGGGGUAACGGCUCACCAAGGCGACGAUACAUAGCCGACCUGAGAGGGGGAUCGGCCACACUGGGACUGAGACACGGCCCAGACUCCUACGGGAGGCAGCAGUAGGGAAUCUUCGGCAAUGGACGGAAGUCUGACCGAGCAACGCCGCGUGAGUGAAGAAGGUUGUCGGAUCGUAAAGCUCUGUUGUAAGAGAAGAACGAGUGUGAGAGUGGAAAGUUCACACUGUGACGGUAGCUUACCAGAAAGGGACGGCUAACUACGUG